AUUGAACGCUGGCGGCAUGCUUUACACAUGCAAGUCGAACGGCAGCACAGCAGAGGUAACUCUGUGGGUGGCGAGUGGCGAACGGGUGAGUAAUACAUCGGAACGUACCCUGUUGUGGGGGAUAACUACGCGAAAGCGUAGCUAAUACCGCAUACGCCCUGAGGGGGAAAGCGGGGGACCCUAAAUAGAGCGCACUGGGGAGUGCGUUGUAUUUAGGGCCUCGCGCAAUAGGAGCGGCCGAUGUCGGAUUAGCUAGUUGGUGAGGUAAAGGCUUACCAAGGCGACGAUCCGUAGCUGGUCUGAGAGGAUGAUCAGCCACACUGGGACUGAGACACGGGCCCAGACUCCUACGGGAGGCAGCAGUGGGGAAUUUUGGACAAUGGGGGCAACCCUGAUCCAGCCAUGCCGCGUGAGUGAAGAAGGCCUCGGUUG
Molecule: ribosomal RNA, 432 nt
Filed under: uncultured bacterium
Lineage: Bacteria
Description: bacterial SSU rRNA
Rfam family: Bacterial small subunit ribosomal RNA
Source: RNAcentral